This 301-nucleotide ribosomal RNA is filed under the name uncultured bacterium. RNAcentral's name for it is "partial 16S ribosomal RNA". It matches the Rfam family "Bacterial small subunit ribosomal RNA", at positions 509 to 807 of the family's 1533-position model. The record is from RNAcentral.
CAGUCGCCGCGGGAAUACGUAGGGUGCGAGCGUUAAUCGGAAUUACUGGGCGUAAAGCGUGCGCAGGCGGUUGUGUAAGACAGGUGUGAAAUCCCCGGGCUUAACCUGGGAACUGCGCUUGUGACUGCACAGCUAGAGUAUGGCAGAGGGGGGUGGAAUUCCACGUGUAGCAGUGAAAUGCGUAGAGAUGUGGAGGAACACCGAUGGCGAAGGCAGCCCCCUGGGCCAAUACUGACGCUGAGGCACGAAAGCGUGGGGAGCAAACAGGAUUAGAUACCCCCGUAGUCCCUGUCUCUUAUAC